UCGGGGAGUGAGUGCUGGUAUGAGUCUGUCAUCCUUCUAGAGGGCCAUGCCUGCUGCUCAUUCAGCUGGGCGUGUGCUAUCUAGAUCUUUUACUUUGAAAAAAUUAGAGUGUUUAAAGCAGGCUUACGCUGUGAAUACAUUAGCAUGGAAUAAUAAUAUAGGACUUUGGUCUUAUUUUGUUGGUUCUGAGGACUGAAGUAAUGAUUGAUAGGGAUAGUUGGGGGUGCUAGUAUUCAGUGGCCAGAGGUGAAAUUCUUGGAUUCACUGAAGACUAACUACUGCGAAAGCAUUCACCAAGGAUGUCUUCUUUAAUCAAGAACGAAAGUUGGGGGAUCGAAGACGAUCAGAUACCGUCGUAGUCUCAACCAUAAACGAUACCGACUAAGGAUCAGCAGACGUCUUUUUUCGACUCUGUUGGCACUUUAUGAGAAAUCAAAGUCUUUGGGUUCCGGGGGGAGUAUGGUCGCAAGGCUGAAACUUAAAGGAAUUGACGGAAGGGCACCACCAGGAGUGGAGCCUGCGGCUUAAUUUGACUCAACACGGGGAAACUCACCAGGUCCGGACAUGGCGAGGAUUGACAGAUUGAGAGCUCUUUCUUGAUUCCAUGGAUGGUGGUGCAUGGCCGUUCUUAGUUGGUGGAGUGAUUUGUCUGCUUAAUUGCGAUAACGAACGAGACCUUGAUCUGCUAACUAGCGACACCUAUCCUUGAUAGGUGGCACGCUUCUUAGAGAGACUGUACG
RNAcentral lists this ribosomal RNA (740 nucleotides) under uncultured eukaryote. Its description in RNAcentral is "bacterial SSU rRNA". It matches the Rfam family "Eukaryotic small subunit ribosomal RNA", at positions 663 to 1426 of the family's 1831-position model. The record is from RNAcentral.